UGCGAACUCCUACGGGAGGCAGCAGUGGGGAAUCUUCCGCAAUGGGCGCAAGCCUGACGGAGCAACGCCGCGUGAGUGAAGAAGGUCUUCGGAUCGUAAAGCUCUGUUGAUGGGGACGAACGUGCCUAAUGCGAAUAGUUUUAGGUAAUGACGGUACCCAUCGAGGAAGCCACGGCUAACUACGUGCCAGCAGCCGCGGUAAUACGUAGGUGGCGAGCGUUGUCCGGAAUCAUUGGGCGUAAAGGGAGCGCAGGCGGGCAUGUAAGUCUUUCUUAAAAGUGCGGGGCUCAACCCCGUGAUGGGAAAGAAACUAUGUGUCUUGAGUACAGGAGAGGAAAGCGGAAUUCCCAGUGUAGCGGUGAAAUGCGUAGAUAUUGGGAGGAACACCAGUGGCGAAGGCGGCUUUCUGGACUGCAACUGACGCUGAGGCUCGAAAGCCAGGGGAGCGAACGGGAUUAGAUACCCUUGUAGUCCUAUC
RNAcentral lists this ribosomal RNA (478 nucleotides) under uncultured bacterium. RNAcentral describes it as "bacterial SSU rRNA". It matches the Rfam family "Bacterial small subunit ribosomal RNA", at positions 330 to 800 of the family's 1533-position model. The record is from RNAcentral.